This 2156-nucleotide ribosomal RNA is filed under the name Listeria monocytogenes. RNAcentral describes it as "partial 23S ribosomal RNA". It matches the Rfam family "Bacterial large subunit ribosomal RNA", at positions 1 to 2149 of the family's 2925-position model. Lineage: Bacteria; Bacillati; Bacillota; Bacilli; Caryophanales; Listeriaceae. The record is from RNAcentral.
GGUUAAGUUAGAAAGGGCGCACGGUGGAUGCCUUGGCACUAGGAGCCGAAGAAGGACGGGACUAACACCGAUAUGCUUUGGGGAGCUGUACGUAAGCGUUGAUCCAGAGAUUUCCGAAUGGGGGAACCCACUAUCUUUAGUCGGAUAGUAUCCUUACGUGAAUACAUAGCGUGAGGAAGGCAGACCCAGGGAACUGAAACAUCUAAGUACCUGGAGGAAGAGAAAGAAAAAUCGAUUUCCUGAGUAGCGGCGAGCGAAACGGAAAGAGCCCAAACCAAGAAGCUUGCUUCUUGGGGUUGUAGGACACUCUAUACGGAGUUACAAAAGAAAGUUAUAAAUGAAGCGGUCUGGAAAGGCCCGCCAAAGACGGUAACAGCCCGGUAGUUGAAAUAGCUUUCCCUCCAGAGUGGAUCCUGAGUACGGCGGAACACGUGAAAUUCCGUCGGAAUCCGGGAGGACCAUCUCCCAAGGCUAAAUACUCCCUAGUGACCGAUAGUGAACCAGUACCGUGAGGGAAAGGUGAAAAGCACCCCGGAAGGGGAGUGAAACAGUUCCUGAAACCGUGUGCCUACAAGUAGUUAGAGCCCGUUAAUGGGUGAUAGCGUGCCUUUUGUAGAAUGAACCGGCGAGUUACGAUUUGUUGCAAGGUUAAGCGGAAAAAGCGGAGCCGUAGCGAAAGCGAGUCUGAAUAGGGCGCAUAAGUAACAGGUCGUAGACCCGAAACCAGGUGAUCUACCCAUGUCCAGGAUGAAGGUAAGGUAAUACUUACUGGAGGUCCGAACCCACGCACGUUGAAAAGUGCGGGGAUGAGGUGUGGGUAGCGGAGAAAUUCCAAUCGAACUUGGAGAUAGCUGGUUCUCUCCGAAAUAGCUUUAGGGCUAGCCUCGAGGUAAAGAGUCAUGGAGGUAGAGCACUGUUUGGACUAGGGGCCCUUCUCGGGUUACCGAAUUCAGAUAAACUCCGAAUGCCAUGUACUUAUACUCGGGAGUCAGACUGCGAGUGAUAAGAUCCGUAGUCGAAAGGGAAACAGCCCAGACCACCAGUUAAGGUCCCCAAAUAUAUGUUAAGUGGAAAAGGAUGUGGGGUUGCUUAGACAACCAGGAUGUUGGCUUAGAAGCAGCCACCAUUGAAAGAGUGCGUAAUAGCUCACUGGUCGAGUGACCCCGCGCCGAAAAUGUACCGGGGCUAAACAUAUUACCGAAACUGUGGAUGAACCUCUUUAGAGGUUCGUGGUAGGAGAGCGUUCUAAGGGCGGUGAAGUCAGACCGGAAGGACUGGUGGAGCGCUUAGAAGUGAGAAUGCCGGUAUGAGUAGCGAAAGAAGGGUGAGAAUCCCUUCCACCGAAUAUCUAAGGUUUCCUGAGGAAGGCUCGUCCGCUCAGGGUUAGUCGGGACCUAAGCCGAGGCCGAUAGGCGUAGGCGAUGGACAACAGGUAGAGAUUCCUGUACCAGUGCUAAUUGUUUAACCGAUGGGGUGACACAGAAGGAUAGGGAAUCGCACGAAUGGAAAUGUGCGUCCAAGCAGUGAGUGUGAGAAGUAGGCAAAUCCGCUUCUCGCGAAGCAUGAGCUGUGAUGGGGAAGGAAAUUAAGUACGGAAGUUCCUGAUUUCACGCUGUCAAGAAAAGCCUCUAGGAAGAGUAGUACUGCCCGUACCGCAAACCGACACAGGUAGAUGAGGAGAGAAUCCUAAGGUGAGCGAGAGAACUCUCGUUAAGGAACUCGGCAAAAUGACCCCGUAACUUCGGGAGAAGGGGUGCUCUAUUAGGGUGCAAGCCCGAGAGAGCCGCAGUGAAUAGGCCCAGGCGACUGUUUAGCAAAAACACAGGUCUCUGCAAAACCGUAAGGUGACGUAUAGGGGCUGACGCCUGCCCGGUGCUGGAAGGUUAAGAGGAGUGCUUAGCUUCGGCGAAGGUACGAAUUGAAGCCCCAGUAAACGGCGGCCGUAACUAUAACGGUCCUAAGGUAGCGAAAUUCCUUGUCGGGUAAGUUCCGACCCGCACGAAAGGCGCAACGAUCUGGGCACUGUCUCAACGAGAGACUCGGUGAAAUUAUAGUACCUGUGAAGAUGCAGGUUACCCGCGACAGGACGGAAAGACCCCGUGGAGCUUUACUGCAACCUGAUAUGGAAUGUUUGUACCGCUUGUACAGGAUAGGUA